CCUACGGGAGGCAGCAGUGGGGAAUCUUCCGCAAUGGGCGAAAGCCUGACGGAGUGACGCCGCGUGGGGGACGAAGGCCUUCGGGUCGUAAACCCCUGUCAGAGGGAAAGAAGGGUGUCGGCGUGAACAGCGCCGGCAUCUGACGGUACCUUCAGAGGAAGCCCCGGCCAACUCUGUGCCAGCAGCCGCGGUAAGACAGAGGGGGCAAGCGUUGCUCGGAAUCACUGGGCGUAAAGGGCGCGUAGGCGGGGUGGCAAGUCGGUCGUGAAAUCCCCCGGCUCAACCGGGGAGGGUCGGCCGAGACUGCCGCUCUUGAGGGAUGCAGAGGAGACUGGAAUUCCCGGUGUAGCGGUGAAAUGUGUAGAGAUCGGGAGGAACACCGGUGGCGAAGGCGGGUCUCUGGGCAUCUCCUGACGCUGAGGCGCGAAAGCGUGGGGAGCAAACGGGAUUAGAUACCCGAGUAGU
This 465-nucleotide ribosomal RNA is filed under the name uncultured Nitrospirales bacterium. Its description in RNAcentral is "partial 16S ribosomal RNA". It matches the Rfam family "Bacterial small subunit ribosomal RNA", at positions 338 to 794 of the family's 1533-position model. Lineage: Bacteria; Pseudomonadati; Nitrospirota; Nitrospiria; Nitrospirales. The record is from RNAcentral.